Molecule: ribosomal RNA, 492 nt
Filed under: uncultured bacterium
Lineage: Bacteria
Description: partial 16S ribosomal RNA
Rfam family: Bacterial small subunit ribosomal RNA
Source: RNAcentral
AGUGAACGCUGGCGGUAGGCCUAACACAUGCAAGUCGAACGGCAGCACAGUAAGAGCUUGCUCUUACGGGUGGCGAGUGGCGGACGGGUGAGGAAUACAUCGGAAUCUACUUUUUCGUGGGGGAUAACGUAGGGAAACUUACGCUAAUACCGCAUACGACCUACGGGUGAAAGCAGGGGAUCUUCGGACCUUGCGCGAUUGAAUGAGCCGAUGUCGGAUUAGCUAGUUGGCGGGGUAAAGGCCCACCAAGGCGACGAUCCGUAGCUGGUCUGAGAGGAUGAUCGGCCACCCUGGAACUGGGACACGGUCCAGACUCCCACGGGAGGCAGCAGUGGGGAAUAUUGGACAAUGGGCGCAAGCCUGAUCCAGCCAUACCGCGUGGGUGAAGAAGGCCUUCGGGUUGUAAAGCCCUUUUGUUGGGAAAGAAAAGCAGCAGGUUAAUACCCCGCUGUUCUGACGGUACCCAAAGAAUAAGCACCGGCUAACUUCGUG